RNAcentral lists this non-coding RNA (30 nucleotides) under Mus musculus (house mouse). Lineage: Eukaryota; Metazoa; Chordata; Mammalia; Rodentia; Muridae. The record is from RNAcentral.
UGCAAAUACCACAAAGCUGAGUUAUUGAGA